CAACCGACUGAGCCACCCAGGUGCCCCGACACGACCCUGCUUUUAAGUCUGCAGCGGGGCCCUUCACCCCAGCACGUCUCCAGGGCCCAUCUCAGCUGCCUGCAAGAAGGAGGAGGGAACAUCACAAGAAGGUGGAGAAUUUCUCAGGAACCCAGAGAGCCAAAGAACACUGCCUCCUUUCUCCUCGCCCCUCCUAGGGACUCAGAGCCCAGCUCAGAGUAAGGGGGUGGGGGGAGAAGACCAGGAUUGGAGCUGAGACCUGGGUCCUUUGGUUUUCUGGGUCCUGCUCCUGUCCUCUAAGAGGAAGAGUGAUUCAA
This is a long non-coding RNA of Leopardus geoffroyi (Geoffroy's cat), 317 nucleotides long. RefSeq lists it as uncharacterized. Lineage: Eukaryota; Metazoa; Chordata; Mammalia; Carnivora; Felidae. The record is from RefSeq and is a predicted model, not a curated record. The transcript is spliced from 2 exons.